CGGGACGUAGCGCAGCUUGGUAGCGCGGCUGCUUUGGGAGCAGUAGGUCGCAGGUUCAAAUCCUGUCGUCCCGACCA
This 77-nucleotide transfer RNA is filed under the name Candidatus Melainabacteria bacterium. RNAcentral describes it as "tRNA-Pro". It matches the Rfam family "tRNA". From Rfam's summary of the family: Transfer RNA (tRNA) molecules are approximately 80 nucleotides in length. Their secondary structure includes four short double-helical elements and three loops (D, anti-codon, and T loops). Further hydrogen bonds mediate the characteristic L-shaped molecular structure. tRNAs have two regions of fundamental functional importance: the anti-codon, which is responsible for specific mRNA codon recognition, and the 3' end, to which the tRNAs corresponding amino acid is attached (by aminoacyl-tRNA synthetases). tRNAs cope with the degeneracy of the genetic code in two manners: having more than one tRNA (with a specific anti-codon) for a particular amino acid; and 'wobble' base-pairing, i.e. permitting non-standard base-pairing at the 3rd anti-codon position. The record is from RNAcentral. Lineage: Bacteria; Bacillati; Candidatus Melainabacteria. RNAcentral also lists the same sequence under 3 other names.